Caenorhabditis tropicalis is the source of this 86-nucleotide non-coding RNA. The record is from Rfam. NCBI's taxonomy places the organism in Eukaryota, Metazoa, Nematoda, Chromadorea, Rhabditida, Rhabditidae.
GCCGGGGUGGCCGACUGGUUGGUAAGGCAUGAGUGUGUACUCAAAGGGGUUCGACCCCGAUGCAGGUUCGAUUCCUGCCCCCGGAC